GGCAGACAGAGAGAAGACUUCGGAUCAACAUAUACAUGGUGGAUAACCCUUCAAGACAAAAAACAACAGCCAAAUAUUCCAUGAAAUAGAAUUUAAGGAAGAAAACGGUAUGAUGCAUAGAAUAAAAAGAGUGAUUGAAAACACAAUCCUAUCCUUGUCAACAUCCUAUGUAGACUCUUUCACUCGCCAACUUUGAAAUUAUUAUUAGAACUAAAGUCAGCAUAAGAAGGCAUCACAAAGGAAGAUCUUAUUUACAGUCACUCUGUUUCACCAGGCUUGUGCUGUUGACACUCCCAAAAUUGCACUUGCAAGCAGUAACCAAGAAUCCCAAGCUACUAGCGAUCGACAAACGAUUUGUUCAUAAGGUCAACUGCAUUAUCCAUGAACUUUCCAAGCAACUUAAGUUCUCGUCCAACAGGUUCCAUAAAUUUUAGGUUAACAUCUAUAGGCCACACCUUAAUACCAAGUAAUCGAACGGGAGUAAUCUGGC
This 490-nucleotide unclassified non-coding RNA is filed under the name Hevea brasiliensis (rubber tree). The record is from RNAcentral. Lineage: Eukaryota; Viridiplantae; Streptophyta; Magnoliopsida; Malpighiales; Euphorbiaceae.